UAUGAUUAUGGAAAUGGUAAAUGUAAAACCCAAAUUCUGCCCACGCCCAUGCAGAUCAAAUAAACAAAAAAGUAAUAAAUAAAAACCAAAUAAAAUAAAAUAAAAUAACAAUCCAAAAACAGUACAUUUACAUUGGCCCAAAACAAUAUAACCCUAAACCACCCAGACACAAACCCAAACCCACUAAGCCUAAUACUUGACAACCCAACCCUAAGCCCAAAAUCAACAUUUCCAGAAAACCCUAAAUCUAGCAGCUUCCAGUACUACUCCUCCGUCUACCCUCC
Molecule: long non-coding RNA, 284 nt
Filed under: Gossypium raimondii (Peruvian cotton)
Lineage: Eukaryota; Viridiplantae; Streptophyta; Magnoliopsida; Malvales; Malvaceae
Description: long non-coding RNA (GRAI_LNC003954)
Source: RNAcentral